GAUGAAGAACGUAGCGAAAUGCGAUACGUAAUGUGAAUUGCAGAAUUCAGUGAAUCAUCGACUCUUUGAACGCAUAUUGCGCUCUCUGGUAUUCCGGAGAGCAUGCUUGUUUGAGUAUCAGUAAACACCUCAACUUCCAUAUCUUUUUUGAAAUGGGAGUUGGACUUGAGUGAUCCCAACGCUUUUCCUCACCGAAAAGUGGCGGGUUACUUGAAAUGCAGGUGCAGCUGGACUUUUCUCUGAGCUAUAAGCAUAUCUAUUUAGUCUGCCUAAAAAACAGAUUAUUACCUUUGCUGCAGCUAACAUAAAGGAGAUUAGUUCUUGUGCUGACUGAUGCAGGAUUCACAAAGACAGGCUUCGGCCGACUUUGUAAACUCGAUCUCAAAUCAAGUAAGACUACCCGCUGAACUUAAGCAUAUCAAUAAGCGGAGGA
RNAcentral lists this unclassified non-coding RNA (433 nucleotides) under soil metagenome. RNAcentral describes it as "partial contains 5.8S ribosomal RNA, internal transcribed spacer 2, and large subunit ribosomal RNA". The stretch from base 1 to 120 matches the Rfam family "5.8S ribosomal RNA", at positions 35 to 154 of the family's 154-position model. The record is from RNAcentral.